Molecule: long non-coding RNA, 1081 nt
Filed under: Mytilus galloprovincialis (Mediterranean mussel)
Lineage: Eukaryota; Metazoa; Mollusca; Bivalvia; Mytilida; Mytilidae
Source: RNAcentral
UGCGUUAAAUUAAUGUGAGUUUAAGCUUGUUUGAAAUGAGCGAAAUUUCCGUGUGUACAAUUACAUCCCCAUCUUACAAUAAAAAUUAGUUAAGAAUGAUCAAAGUGUGAAAUAAAAGUCUCACAUUAUGUCAACAUAUCUUACUUAAAUUUGUAACACAGGCAUUAAACUGUAAAGUAAUGCUAAACUGACUCAAACAUCAAAGAACUGGUUUACUAUAUAACAGGAAUGUUCUAUAUUCCCUGGGCUAAAAGGAUCACCUGAAUAUGAUGUCCAGGGCUGUUUAGUGUCAGAAUUGUACUAUUUACCUAUCUGGUAGUAUAAAAAUAGUAUUGACAACUUACAACUCUUGAUUUCUAAAACUUAGUUCCUUUCUUACGGGAGAGAGAGAACAGUAUUAUCCAUAUGUUAAUAAACUUUGUUUUACUAUUAAUAAAUGUUUAUCUAGGUAAAAUACUACUGUUUUAUUACUAUGGAUCUCUGGGAAACUAACCUUUAUUUUAUAAACAAAACAAAAUUUUUUAACAAAAAUAACUAGAGCAUGAAAUACUUCUCAUGGCAACCAAAAUAUUGGUGACCAAUAAUCAGAUCUAUAACAUGGAGGCUUAUUUAAUUUAAUUUACAAUCAAUAAUUUAGAUUCAUCAAGAAUCACUAUGUUACAAAGCAGAAGAAAAUAUUCCAUGAACAAUGUACAUAAAUGGUGAAUAAAUAAGUUCAACCCUGUCCCAUGUUUAUGUACUUGUCCCAAGAUAUGGAAUUUUGUAAGUGGUUGUCUAUUAGUGUUUUUGUGCAAUAGAAUUGACAACCACCAAUAAACCAUAUCACAGUCAAAUUCUUCUUUUAUGUAUUAAAAGUUUUUCAUUCACAACCAAUUUGGAAUUACAAAUAAAUCUAUGUCCCUAUGACAAUGGACUAAGAAGUCGUAUAUAAAUCUAUUUUUAGAUACACUGUUUCUAAUAUGUUAUAUACAUUCCUUCUUUGUACAUUAUAAUGGUGUUGGAUAAUUACACAAUUCAGUUCUUUAUGUAUCAUUUUGACACAUAUUCAAUAUAUAAGUAUACUGGUCAUUCUAAAAGCAAG